This is a long non-coding RNA of Acyrthosiphon pisum (pea aphid), 1501 nucleotides long. RefSeq lists it as uncharacterized. The transcript has 4 exons. Lineage: Eukaryota; Metazoa; Arthropoda; Insecta; Hemiptera; Aphididae. The record is from RefSeq and is a predicted model, not a curated record.
CCCCGUAAAUAUCGACUCGGAACUCCCAAAUGCACGCAGCCAUUUGGACGUACGCGCACCACGCGCAUUGUUUGUUUGGCCGAGAGACUCGUGGAGAAGAAAAUCGCACAGACAUUGGACCCUUAAGAGGAGAUAUUAUGAUGACCUAUACUCUGCGCAUAUACGUGGCACGGAUUGAGUUUUGGAGAUGACUAGACAAAGCUUCUGGUCCGCCGGAACGUAUAAUAUUAUUCGGAAAGCCGCUGUGACAAUGCGCUUCACACUCAAGCAGAUUCUGGUUGUGAUCGUUUUUGGAACUUUAAUCCGGCUGAAACUACAACGCGUAUAGUGGUGCAGAGCAAAUUGUUGAAUCGAUAUCCAACAAAAAUUCCGAAUUCGGGAUAAUUAUAAUAAUUGGAUUUGCAAGCCAUCCCAUAUGUAUCAAAUGGUGCGCCUCGCACAGUGUUGUAUUUAUUGUCAAUUAUUUUCGAAUCGUAUGCAACAUUUAUGUGUUUUGUAAGUCAUUUAUAAUUUAUUAAUGUAUUGUUUAAAUGUUCAUAUUUAUAAAUGUAUAAUUUAUCGAUUAUUAUACGAUCAUAUUCUGUUUCAAAGUUGGCGCCUUAGUUCGUAAGCAUACCUAUAUAUUGUAUGAAAUUCUUCACGCGGAAAAAAUAAUCAAUUUAUAGUUUACGUGACGUAUGUAAUCGACAAAAUCAUUUAAAAUAAUUUUUUUUCAGCACCAUAUUAUAUUACGAUCGGACAUCAUGGUCCAAACAACUUACUCAAACUUCGUGGUUGUCAAAAAUCUUUGAAAUUAAGUGAAAAUCAGCCUAGUGUAUUAUAGCGUAUUGACAAACGAUGAAACUUCGGUAAUAUUGCAUAAAAAUUUUAAGAAACUAACUACUUAGUUGUCAAAUUUAUUAUGGAGGACGCUCGACUGUAAUAUUAUUUAGACGUGGUAAUAAUAAUAUGUUUUGAGGUCACCUAAUUAUAACCGUUAUAUUUUAAUAUUUUUAACUAUUAUAGGCAGUCAAAUCUGUUAAGAAUAAUAGCCCACCUCAAUUUUUUAUAUUUUCUUUUGAUCUCUCUUCAAAUAUUAUAAAUACCUAACCUCAUAUUAUCCAGACAUGAAACAUGAGUAUAUUUCUUAAAUUAUUUACUAAUCGUAUAAUUUUAACAAUUUUUCCUAUAGGUAUGUUUUAUUAAGUAGCAUAUAUUUUUUAUUUUGUCAGGCCUUCUUGUUACGUCCAGUGGCGAUUUAGGAUAUUUAGGAUUUUGCUGCCCUGGGUACAUGUUUUUUAAUGCAGAUGCAUGAGAUUUACACAGAAUAAUAUUUUAUAUUAGUAAUUUCUAUUUUGCUUCAAUAAUAUUCAUUUUUUGUAAGCAAUAUAAUUGUUCUACCAGAACACUAUACAAUUAUUACAUAAUAUUACAAUAUUAGGUACGCUAUAUUAUUAUGUACUUAUAAACUAUUAGUAACUUUAUAUUCAUGCAGGUAAAGUAGUAAAUUUGUUAUCUUACA